Molecule: ribosomal RNA, 314 nt
Filed under: uncultured archaeon
Lineage: Archaea
Description: bacterial SSU rRNA
Rfam family: Archaeal small subunit ribosomal RNA
Source: RNAcentral
UUACUGCUAUCGAGGUUCGACUAAGCCGUGCGAGUCGAAUGUAGCAAUACAUGGCGUACUGCUCGUAACACGUGGACAACCUGCCCUUAGGUUGGGUAUAAACCCGGGAAACUGGGUAUAAUCCCCUAUAAGUCUCGGCUGCUGGAAGCACCGAGAUUAAAAAGCUCCGGCGCCUAAGGAUGGGUCGCGGCCUAUCAGGGUAGUAGUGGUGUAACGUACCACUAGCCUACGACGGGUACGGGUUGUGAGAGCGAGAGCCCGGAGAGGAUUCUGAGCAUGAAUCCAGGCCCUACGGGGGCGCAGCAGGCGCGAUG